This 506-nucleotide ribosomal RNA is filed under the name uncultured bacterium. RNAcentral describes it as "partial 16S ribosomal RNA". It matches the Rfam family "Bacterial small subunit ribosomal RNA", at positions 29 to 523 of the family's 1533-position model. The record is from RNAcentral.
AGUGAACGCUGGCGGUAGGCCUAACACAUGCAAGUCGAACGGCAGCACAGGAGAGCUUGCUCUCCGGGUGGCGAGUGGCGGACGGGUGAGGAAUACAUCGGAAUCUACUCUGUCGUGGGGGAUAACGUAGGGAAACUUACGCUAAUACCGCAUACGACCUACGGGUGAAAGCAGGGGACCUUCGGGCCUUGCGCGAUUGAAUGAGCCGAUGUCGGAUUAGCUAGUUGGCGGGGUAAAGGCCCACCAAGGCGACGAUCCGUAGCUGGUCUGAGAAGAUGAUCAGCCCAAAUUGAACUGGGGCACGGGCCCGGCUCCCACGGGGGGCAACAGUGGGGAAUAUUUGACAAUGGGCGCAAGCCUGAUCCAGCCAUACCGCGUGGGUGAAGAAGGCCUUCGGGUUGUAAAGCCCUUUUGUUGGGAAAGAAAUCCAGCUGGCUAAUACCCGGUUGGGAUGACGGUACCCAAAGAAUAAGCACCGGCUAACUUCGUGCCAGCCGCCGCGGUAA